GACGAACGCUGGCGGCGCGCCUAACACAUGCAAGUCGAACGAGCGAGAGAGAGCUUGCUUUCUCAAGCGAGUGGCGAACGGGUGAGUAACGCGUGAGGAACCUGCCUCAAAGAGGGGGACAACAGUUGGAAACGACUGCUAAUACCGCAUAAGCCCACGACCCGGCAUCGGGUAGAGGGAAAAGGAGCAAUCCGCUUUGAGAUGGCCUCGCGUCCGAUUAGCUAGUUGGUGAGGUAACGGCCCACCAAGGCGACGAUCGGUAGCCGGACUGAGAGGUUGAACGGACACAUUGAGACUGAGACACGGCCCAGACUCCUACGGGAGGCAGCAGUGGGGAAUAUUGCAAAAUGGGGGAAACCCUGAUGCAGCGACGCCGCGUGGAGGAAGAAGGUCUGCGGAUUGUAAACUCCUGGUGUUGAGGAAGAUAAUGACGGUACUCAACAAGAAAGUGACGGCUAACUACGUG
Molecule: ribosomal RNA, 466 nt
Filed under: uncultured bacterium
Lineage: Bacteria
Description: partial 16S ribosomal RNA
Rfam family: Bacterial small subunit ribosomal RNA
Source: RNAcentral